AGAGCGAACGCUGGCGGCAGGCUUAACACAUGCAAGUCGAGCGCUCGUAGCAAUACGGGAGCGGCAGACGGGAGAGUAACACGUGGGAACGUACCCUUCGGUUCGGAAUAACCCAGGGAAACUUGGGCUAAUACCGGAUACGUCCGUAAGGAGAAAGAUUUAUCGCCGAGGGAUCGGCCCGCGUCCGAUUAGCUAGUUGGUGGGGUAAUGGCCCACCAAGGCGACGAUCGGUAGCUGGUCUGAGAGGAUGAUCAGCCUCACUGGGACUGAGACACGGCCCAGACUCCUACGGGAGGCAGCAGUGGGGAAUAUUGGACAAUGGGCGCAAGCCUGAUCCAGCCAUGCCGCGUGGGUGAUGAAGGCCUUAGGGUUGUAAAGCCCUUUCGGCGGGGAAGAUAAUGACGGUACCCGCAGAAGAAGCCCCGGCUAACUUCGUGCCAGCAGCCGC
RNAcentral lists this ribosomal RNA (448 nucleotides) under uncultured bacterium. RNAcentral's name for it is "SSU rRNA". It matches the Rfam family "Bacterial small subunit ribosomal RNA", at positions 26 to 518 of the family's 1533-position model. The record is from RNAcentral.